This 497-nucleotide ribosomal RNA is filed under the name uncultured bacterium. Its description in RNAcentral is "partial 16S ribosomal RNA". It matches the Rfam family "Bacterial small subunit ribosomal RNA", at positions 28 to 507 of the family's 1533-position model. The record is from RNAcentral.
GAUGAACGCUGGCGGCGUGCCUAAUACAUGCAAGUCGAGCGAACAGACGAGGAGCUUGCUCCUCUGACGUUAGCGGCGGACGGGUGAGUAACACGUGGAUAACCUACCUAUAAGACUGGGAUAACUUCGGGAAACCGGAGCUAAUACCGGAUAAUAUAUUGAACCGCAUGGUUCAAUAGUGAAAGACGGUUGUGGUGUCACUUAUAGAUGGAUCCGCGCCGCAUUAGCUAGUUGGUAAGGUAACGGCUUACCAAGGCGACGAUGCGUGGCCGACCUGAGAGGGUGAUCGGCCACACUGGAACUGAGACACGGUCCAGACUCCUACGGGAGGCAGCAGUAGGGAAUCUUCCGCAAUGGGCGAAAGCUUGACGGAGCAACGCCGCGUGAGUGAUGAAGGUCUUCGGAUCGUAAAACUCUGUUAUUAGGGAAGAACAAAUGUGUAAGUAACUAUGCACGUCUUGACGGUACCUAAUCAGAAAGCCACGGCUAACUACGUG